CCUACGGGUGGCUGCAGUGGGGAAUAUUGGACAAUGGGCGAAAGCCUGAUCCAGCCAUGCCGCGUGUGUGAAGAAGGCCUUCGGGUUGUAAAGCACUUUCAGUGGGGAAGAAAGCCUUGGGGCUAAUACCCUCGAGGAAGGACAUCACCCACAGAAGAAGCACCGGCUAACUCCGUGCCAGCAGCCGCGGUAAUACGGAGGGUGCGAGCGUUAAUCGGAAUUACUGGGCGUAAAGCGCGCGUAGGCGGUCUGAUAAGCCGGUUGUGAAAGCCCCGGGCUCAACCUGGGAACAGCAUCCGGAACUGUCAGGCUAGAGUGCAGGAGAGGAAGGUAGAAUUCCCGGUGUAGCGGUGAAAUGCGUAGAGAUCGGGAGGAAUACCAGUGGCGAAGGCGGCCUUCUGGACUGACACUGACGCUGAGGUGCGAAAGCGUGGGUAGCAAACAGGAUUAGAUACCCGAGUAGUC
RNAcentral lists this ribosomal RNA (465 nucleotides) under Vreelandella stevensii. RNAcentral's name for it is "partial 16S ribosomal RNA". It matches the Rfam family "Bacterial small subunit ribosomal RNA", at positions 338 to 795 of the family's 1533-position model. Lineage: Bacteria; Pseudomonadati; Pseudomonadota; Gammaproteobacteria; Oceanospirillales; Halomonadaceae. The record is from RNAcentral.